GAUGAACGCUGGCGGCGUGCUUGAUACAUGCAAGUCGAACGGAGAGUGUAGCAAUAUACUUUUAGUGGCGAACGGGUGAGUAACGCGUUGGUGACCUGCCCCCGAAGCGAGGGAUAACAGUUCGAAAGAACUGCUAAUACCUCAUGUGAUCACCGGUUUUUAGAAUCUGGUGAUUAAAGGUGAAAAUCACUUCGGGAGGGGCCUGCGUCCCAUCAGCUAGUUGGUAAGGUAAUGGCUUACCAAGGCGAUGACGGGUAGGGGACCUGAGAGGGUGGCCCCCCACAAUGGAACUGAAACACGGUCCAUACACCUACGGGUGGCAGCAGUAGGGAAUAUUGCAAAUGGGCGAAAGCCUGAUGUAGCAACGCCGCGUGUGCGAUGAAGGUCUUCGGAUUGUAAAGCACUUUUUGGAGGGAUGAGGAAGGACAGUACCUCCAGAAUAAGCCUCGGCUAACUACGUGCCAGCAGCCGCGGUAAGCUAAGUCUACG
This 489-nucleotide ribosomal RNA is filed under the name uncultured bacterium. Its description in RNAcentral is "bacterial SSU rRNA". It matches the Rfam family "Bacterial small subunit ribosomal RNA", at positions 28 to 536 of the family's 1533-position model. The record is from RNAcentral.